RNAcentral lists this ribosomal RNA (828 nucleotides) under Pseudoalteromonas sp. LZXC46. RNAcentral describes it as "bacterial SSU rRNA". It matches the Rfam family "Bacterial small subunit ribosomal RNA", at positions 357 to 1180 of the family's 1533-position model. The record is from RNAcentral. Lineage: Bacteria; Pseudomonadati; Pseudomonadota; Gammaproteobacteria; Alteromonadales; Pseudoalteromonadaceae.
AAGGGCAUUGCCAUGGGCGAAGCCUGAUGCAGCCAUGCCGCGUGUGUGAAGAAGGCCUUCGGGUUGUAAAGCACUUUCAGUCAGGAGGAAAGGGUGUGAGUUAAUACCUCACAUCUGUGACGUUACUGACAGAAGAAGCACCGGCUAACUCCGUGCCAGCAGCCGCGGUAAUACGGAGGGUGCGAGCGUUAAUCGGAAUUACUGGGCGUAAAGCGUACGCAGGCGGUUUGUUAAGCGAGAUGUGAAAGCCCCGGGCUCAACCUGGGAACUGCAUUUCGAACUGGCAAACUAGAGUGUGAUAGAGGGUGGUAGAAUUUCAGGUGUAGCGGUGAAAUGCGUAGAGAUCUGAAGGAAUACCGAUGGCGAAGGCAGCCACCUGGGUCAACACUGACGCUCAUGUACGAAAGCGUGGGGAGCAAACGGGAUUAGAUACCCCGGUAGUCCACGCCGUAAACGAUGUCUACUAGAAGCUCGGAACCUCGGUUCUGUUUUUCAAAGCUAACGCAUUAAGUAGACCGCCUGGGGAGUACGGCCGCAAGGUUAAAACUCAAAUGAAUUGACGGGGGCCCGCACAAGCGGUGGAGCAUGUGGUUUAAUUCGAUGCAACGCGAAGAACCUUACCUACACUUGACAUACAGAGAACUUUCUAGAGAUAGAUUGGUGCCUUCGGGAACUCUGAUACAGGUGCUGCAUGGCUGUCGUCAGCUCGUGUUGUGAGAUGUUGGGUUAAGUCCCGCAACGAGCGCAACCCCUAUCCUUAGUUGCUAGCAGGUAAUGCUGAGAACUCUAAAGGAGACUGCCGGUGAUAAACCGGAGGAAGGGUGGGGG